Molecule: unclassified non-coding RNA, 627 nt
Filed under: Hevea brasiliensis (rubber tree)
Lineage: Eukaryota; Viridiplantae; Streptophyta; Magnoliopsida; Malpighiales; Euphorbiaceae
Source: RNAcentral
UCUGGUUUUCAUGGUUUCUUCUUUAUUCUCUCUUAUAUGGUGAAUGAUGCUGAUAUUUACUUGAAGUUAUUGUGCCAAGAUUUAGUAGUAUGUGAUAUUCAUUCUUCUAUAUUUCACUGCAAGAUCCCCCUCCCCCAACACGCACAGUAAUUAUGUUUGCAAAUGCACACAAAUGAUAAAGUUUUCUUUUCUUUUUAAUGCUAAGUUAUUUCUUUGGAUUUUACAGAAAUGUUGAUGAUUGCAUACCAUAGGAUUAGUAUAUUUGCCUAUUCAGAUUGAUUGCUGUGCAUGCUGAGUUGUUUAACCUCUAUAUUUUUGGUGGGAUGGGCUGCUGGCAGUGUUGGGAGCACUUAAUUUUCAUGUGUUGAUGAGGAGUAUGCUCAGCUUAUGGAUUUGCUUAUGGAUUUAUCUCCUGUUAAAUUUGAUGCCAUUUGACAUUUUAAUAAAUUGGUUGAGUAGUGGAUUGUCAUGUGUUUCGGAUUUGAUGGUGUAUUAGGCUAAGGAUAUUGGAUAAUUGGAAGUAGGAAGAAAUCUAAACCAUAUAAGGGAUCAAAGGAAAAAGAAAGGAACUCAUUUUUUAACACAGUUUCCCAUUUAAUUUGACCAUCAAUUUAUUAAUCCUUUGGC